RNAcentral lists this ribosomal RNA (451 nucleotides) under uncultured bacterium. Its description in RNAcentral is "partial 16S ribosomal RNA". It matches the Rfam family "Bacterial small subunit ribosomal RNA", at positions 354 to 796 of the family's 1533-position model. The record is from RNAcentral.
GUGGGGAAUAUUGGACAAUGGGGGGAACCCUGAUCCAGCCAUGCCGCGUGUGUGAAGAAGGCCUUUUGGUUGUAAAGCACUUUAAGUGGGGAGGAGGCUUACCUGGUUAAUACCUGGGCUAAGUGGACGUUACCCACAGAAUAAGCACCGGCUAACUCUGUGCCAGCAGCCGCGGUAAUACAGAGGGUGCGAGCGUUAAUCGGAUUUACUGGGCGUAAAGCGCGCGUAGGUGGUUAAUUAAGUCAAAUGUGAAAUCCCCGAGCUUAACUUGGGAAUUGCAUUCGAUACUGGUUGGCUAGAGUAUGGGAGAGGAUGGUAGAAUUCCAGGUGUAGCGGUGAAAUGCGUAGAGAUCUGGAGGAAUACCGAUGGCGAAGGCAGCCAUCUGGCCUAAUACUGACACUGAGGUGCGAAAGCAUGGGGAGCAAACAGGAUUAGAAACCCGUGUAGUCC